Molecule: ribosomal RNA, 294 nt
Filed under: uncultured bacterium
Lineage: Bacteria
Description: partial 16S ribosomal RNA
Rfam family: Bacterial small subunit ribosomal RNA
Source: RNAcentral
GCCAGCAGCCGCGGUAAUACGGAGGGGGUUAGGCGUUGUUCGGAAUUACUGGGCGUAAAGACGCGCGUAGGCGGACCAGAAAGUUAGGGGGUGGAAAUACCCGGGGCUCAACCCCGGAACUGCCUCCAAAACUACCUGGUCUAGAGUUCGAGAGAGGUGAGUGGAAUUCCGAGUGUAGAGGUGAAAUUCGUAGAUAUUCGGAGGAACACCAGUGGCGAAGGCGGCUCACUGGCUCGAUACUGACGCUGAGGUGCGAAAGUGUGGGGAGCAAACAGGAUUAGAUACCCCUGGUAG